Long non-coding RNA from Panicum virgatum (switchgrass), 444 nucleotides. RefSeq lists it as uncharacterized. The transcript is spliced from 3 exons. Lineage: Eukaryota; Viridiplantae; Streptophyta; Magnoliopsida; Poales; Poaceae. The record is from RefSeq and is a predicted model, not a curated record.
GAUGAGUCGACACGGAGACUACUCCCACUCUCUCGCAGAUUCGAGCUAGGAGUACCAGCUCAAGCCCGGCCAUACACCCACGGCCAGACACUACACAAACUCAGAUUGAGGCUGUCAAGACCCAAAUGGAAGCAGCCUUUCAAGCACGACAGGAGGCGGCAGAGGAGAGGUGGCGGGCCGAGCAGGACGAGAUGCAGCAAAAAUUGGAUCAAGCUCUAACAUUUAUGCAAAGCCUGGGCUCGGCGAUGGGUAUUUCGCCUCCACAAUUCCCUCUGGCCCCACUUGCUCCUCGGGCAGAAACUCCUCCUAUUAAUCAGUCGGCGGCAUCCAAUGAUGGGCCAGUAAAUCCAGACUUCUCGCCUCUGGUGCAACAGCCUUAGCAGCCUCAGCAAUUUGUGUGGCCACUGCCUCAAUGUGUGGCUUGGAUUCAGCAGCAGCAGCAGC